UCGAGGAUCUUCGGCAAUGGGCGCAAGCCUGACCGAGCGACGCCGCGUGUGCGAUGAAGGCCUUCGGGUUGUAAAGCACUGUCGAGGGGGAGGAAAGCGCAAGCUUGACCUAUCCCUGGAGGAAGCACGGGCUAAGUUCGUGCCAGCAGCCGCGGUAAGACGAACCGUGCGAACGUUGUUCGGAAUCACUGGGCUUAAAGGGCGCGUAGGCGGGCCACCAAGUCCGGGGUGAAAGCCCCCAGCUUAACUGGGGAAGUGCCUUGGAUACUGGUGGCCUGGAGGGAGGUAGGGGCAGUUGGAACUUCCGGUGGAGCGGUGAAAUGCGUUGAUAUCGGAAGGAACGCCGGUGGCGAAAGCGAACUGCUGGACCUUUUCUGACGCUGAGGCGCGAAAGCCAGGGGAGCAAACGGG
Molecule: ribosomal RNA, 411 nt
Filed under: uncultured bacterium
Lineage: Bacteria
Description: bacterial SSU rRNA
Rfam family: Bacterial small subunit ribosomal RNA
Source: RNAcentral